UGGCAUACGGUUCAGUAACACGUAGUCAACAUGCCCAGGGGACGUGGAUAACCUCGGGAAACUGAGGAUAAACCGCGAUAGGCCAAGGUUUCUGGAAUGGACAAUGGCUGAAACCUAUAUGGCCCCUGGAUUGGACUGCGGCCGAUCAGGCUGUUGGUGAGGUAAUGGCCCACCAAACCUGUAACCGGUACGGGCUCUGAGAGGAGGAGCCCGGAGAUGGGCACUGAGACAAGGGCCCAGGCCCUAUGGGGCGCAGCAGGUGCGAAACCUCUGCAAUAGGCGAAAGCUUGACAGGGUUACUCUGAGUGAUGUCCGCUAAGGGCAUCUUUUGGCACUUCUAAAAAUAGUGUAGAAUAAGGGGUGGGCAAGUCUGGUGUCAGCCGCCGCGGUAAUACCAGCACCCCGAGUGGUCGGGACGAUUAUUGGGCCUAAAGCAUCCGUAGCCGGUUCUGCAAGUCUUCCGUUAAAUCCACCUGCUCAACAGAUGGGCUGCGGAGGAUACUACAGGGCUAGGAGGCGGGAGAGGCAAGCGGUACUCAGUGGGUAGGGGUAAAAUCCUCUGAUCCACUGAAGACCACCAGUGGCGAAGGCGGCUUGCCAGAACGCGCUCGACGGUGAGGGAUGAAAGCUGGGGGAGCAAACCGGAUUAGAUACCCGGGUAGUCCCAGCUGUAAACGAUGCAGACUCGGUGAUGGGUUGGCUUCGAGCCAACCCAGUGCCGCAGGGAAGCCGUUAAGUCUGCCGCCUGGGGAGUACGGUCGCAAGACUGAAACUUAAAGGAAUUGGCGGGGGAGCACCACAAGGGGUGAAGCCUGCGGUUCAAUUGGAGUCAACGCCGGA
This 840-nucleotide ribosomal RNA is filed under the name uncultured archaeon. RNAcentral's name for it is "bacterial SSU rRNA". It matches the Rfam family "Archaeal small subunit ribosomal RNA", at positions 79 to 922 of the family's 1478-position model. The record is from RNAcentral.